This 1474-nucleotide ribosomal RNA is filed under the name Salmonella enterica subsp. enterica serovar Mbandaka. RNAcentral describes it as "partial 23S ribosomal RNA". It matches the Rfam family "Bacterial large subunit ribosomal RNA", at positions 699 to 2153 of the family's 2925-position model. Lineage: Bacteria; Pseudomonadati; Pseudomonadota; Gammaproteobacteria; Enterobacterales; Enterobacteriaceae. The record is from RNAcentral.
GUUGCAGGGUAUAGACCCGAAACCCGGUGAUCUAGCCAUGGGCAGGUUGAAGGUUGGGUAACACUAACUGGAGGACCGAACCGACUAAUGUUGAAAAAUUAGCGGAUGACCUGUGGCUGGGGGUGAAAGGCCAAUCAAACCGGGAGAUAGCUGGUUCUCCCCGAAAGCUAUUUAGGUAGCGCCUCGUGAAUUCAUCUCCGGGGGUAGAGCACUGUUUCGGCUAGGGGGCCAUCCCGGCUUACCAACCCGAUGCAAACUGCGAAUACCGGAGAAUGUUAUCACGGGAGACACACGGCGGGUGCUAACGUCCGUCGUGAAGAGGGAAACAACCCAGACCGCCAGCUAAGGUCCCAAAGUCAUGGUUAAGUGGGAAACGAUGUGGGAAGGCCCAGACAGCCAGGAUGUUGGCUUAGAAGCAGCCAUCAUUUAAAGAAAGCGUAAUAGCUCACUGGUCGAGUCGGCCUGCGCGGAAGAUGUAACGGGGCUAAACCAUGCACCGAAGCUGCGGCAGCGACGCUGAUGCGUUGUUGGGUAGGGGAGCGUUCUGUAAGCCUGCGAAGGUGGCCUGUGAGGGUUGCUGGAGGUAUCAGAAGUGCGAAUGCUGACAUAAGUAACGAUAAAGCGGGUGAAAAGCCCGCUCGCCGGAAGACCAAGGGUUCCUGUCCAACGUUAAUCGGGGCAGGGUGAGUCGACCCCUAAGGCGAGGCCGAAAGGCGUAGUCGAUGGGAAACGGGUUAAUAUUCCCGUACUUGGUGUUACUGCGAAGGGGGGACGGAGAAGGCUAUGUUGGCCGGGCGACGGUUGUCCCGGUUUAAGCGUGUAGGUGUGUGUUCCAGGUAAAUCCGGUUCACUUUAACACUGAGGCGUGACGACGAGGCACUACGGUGCUGAAGCAACAAAUGCCCUGCUUCCAGGAAAAGCCUCUAAGCAUCAGGUAACAUCAAAUCGUACCCCAAACCGACACAGGUGGUCAGGUAGAGAAUACCAAGGCGCUUGAGAGAACUCGGGUGAAGGAACUAGGCAAAAUGGUGCCGUAACUUCGGGAGAAGGCACGCUGACACGUAGGUGAAGUGAUUUACUCAUGGAGCUGAAGUCAGUCGAAGAUACCAGCUGGCUGCAACUGUUUAUUAAAAACACAGCACUGUGCAAACACGAAAGUGGACGUAUACGGUGUGACGCCUGCCCGGUGCCGGAAGGUUAAUUGAUGGGGUCAGCGCAAGCGAAGCUCCUGAUCGAAGCCCCGGUAAACGGCGGCCGUAACUAUAACGGUCCUAAGGUAGCGAAAUUCCUUGUCGGGUAAGUUCCGACCUGCACGAAUGGCGUAAUGAUGGCCAGGCUGUCUCCACCCGAGACUCAGUGAAAUUGAACUCGCUGUGAAGAUGCAGUGUACCCGCGGCAAGACGGAAAGACCCCGUGAACCUUUACUAUAGCUUGACACUGAACAUUGAGCCUUGAUGUGUAGGAUAGGUGGGAG